Molecule: long non-coding RNA, 1461 nt
Organism: Aegilops tauschii subsp. strangulata
Lineage: Eukaryota; Viridiplantae; Streptophyta; Magnoliopsida; Poales; Poaceae
Source: RefSeq, a predicted model, not a curated record
UGUCGGUCGGUGAAUAUCUCUACUAUUAUAGUACAUAAUUUUUUGAAAUUUGAAUCUACAUUCUUCUUGCAUGUUUCGCGCCCACCAACUUACAUAAUGGAUUCAUCUUUAGCCGUCCACUUUAUCAGAUCGAACGGCCCACAUUACUCGGAUUCGCCUCCCACCUAUUCCCGCCAAAGCCUGAGAACUCAGUGGCCCCUUCUGGAAAACUCCACAACCCACGCUCGCCUCCAGCAAAUCGAUUCCCCACCAAGGCUCCAGCAAAUCGAUUCCCCGCCAAGGCGCCAGCCUCGCUGAUUUCACCACCACAUCCAUAUGCUCUGUAUAAAAUUUCUCUAGCGUGUACGUCACACACCAUGAUCUCCGCCAGUUCAUAACCGCCGUCCACGCCCCAGAUCCUUCGAAUCACCUCAACAUCCAGAUUGCAGCUCCACCAUCGUCUCCUUGCAAGCUCUGACUUAGUUCAAAUUUUCUUGCCGCCUGGUGAGUCCAGGUUCAUGAGAGCUGGACAUCCUACUACAACCAGCUCACCAUAGUGCCAUCGACGGACUGACCACAAGUUGUGGCCGAAAACACCUGACUUAUAACAAUCAAGAAUCAAAGUCAUAACCGCGAGCCGUCCAGUAAAACCCAAGAGAUGGAAGGCCGAGCUCCUUUCAGAGAUAUUACAAAUGUUCACUCCACGACUUCACCAAAAGGGAACCAACGUACGUUGUUUUUAUUAAACCGAUAUCUUCUACUUAUUAUCCUUAUUGAUCGCUUGCCUUGAUAGUAGCUGUGAUUGCAGAGCAGAAUGAUCCUUUUGCAGAAACCAAAAACACUAUGCAAAUGAAUUCUUCCCAGAGCAUCAGAGGAUGAUGUUCUCCCCUUCAAGUUUAAAAGAAACAAUUUCCAAUUCGGCUUAGUUUUGCCAUGACAAUCAACAAAGCCCAGGGUCAAACCAUCCCAAAUGUUGGCGUAUAUCUUCCUGAGCCGGUGUUUUCUCAUGGACAACUCUAUGUUGCUUUGUCUAGAGGGACAUCAAGACAAACAACCACUCCCUCCGUUCCUAAAUAUUUGUCUUUCUAGACGUUUCAAAUGACUACCACAUACGGAUGUAUGUAGACAUUUUUUAGAGUGUAGAUUCACUCAUUUUGCUCCGUAUGUAGUCAUUUGUUGAAAUGUCUAGAAAGACAAAUAUUUAGGAACGGAGGGAGUAGAUUACUUGCAAGGCCAAAUAAGGAUAAUGACCCAUCAGGGAAAAGCACAAAAAAUAUUGUCUACAGGGAUGUUUUGGUAUAAUCCAUGUACAUGCUGUGUACUGUAGCGUGAUGUUUCUAAUAUGUUUCUAUUCAUGUAAAUAGUACCCAGGAAAAAUAAUAUUAGAUAGGGUUUCAGUCAUUAGCUUGUCCUUAUGAAAAUUUUAGACCAAAAGAUAUGUUUACAGGGGUAAUAAUCUAGCAUGUACAGUACUUAAAUCUA